AUUCCAUCGGCGUCACAGUUCUCUGACCAGUUUUGAACCUUGUUGCAAUGAGAUAAAGCCUAACGACUGGUCAGGUAAGUGUAUUGCCGAUAGUACCUACUUAUACCUUACACAGUAGAUUAAGGAAGAUUAUUGAGUGAUACCGUUCGCCAACAAACUGUCAUGCAGUUUGGCGAAAAAAUAUGUGUAAUGGAUUACUGUUUUUAUUUCUUAUUGUGUAUUUAAAUAAAA
Molecule: long non-coding RNA, 231 nt
Organism: Cydia splendana
Lineage: Eukaryota; Metazoa; Arthropoda; Insecta; Lepidoptera; Tortricidae
Exons: 3
Source: RefSeq, a predicted model, not a curated record